UAUAAACUAUCACGACGCCCUACAAGUCGUGGCUUGGAAUAUUGCCAGCUGAUAUAUGCCUCCAUGUGGAGCUGGAGUGAGGCGUCAGAUCUAUGGCUUGUUCCUAAUAAAACCGGUUGCAGCCGUAUAAUGGUCUUGCAUAGACUUGAGGUUGCAGCGGCGGAGUCGUGGCUCAGUACUCAGAUGACUUGAUAAGCACGCUCUACCGUUGUGGCUUUAUAGCCUGUGUUCGAUCGUCUUAUGGUGUGUACCC
This 253-nucleotide unclassified non-coding RNA is filed under the name Parvatrema duboisi. The record is from RNAcentral. Lineage: Eukaryota; Metazoa; Platyhelminthes; Trematoda; Gymnophallidae.